This is a long non-coding RNA of Sapajus apella (tufted capuchin), 327 nucleotides long. RefSeq lists it as uncharacterized. Lineage: Eukaryota; Metazoa; Chordata; Mammalia; Primates; Cebidae. The record is from RefSeq and is a predicted model, not a curated record. The transcript is spliced from 3 exons.
CGUGUAGAGUCGCUCAAGGCAAGAAGACCCAGCGCCAGCAAGAGUGAAACAAAAAAGCAAAAGAGGCUUCUGGCUUGAGAUGGCAAGAACCUCACAUUUCCAGGGAAGUCACGGCAAAGGACCCCUGCUUUUUCUGGCCUGGGAGUACGGCUCAUGCUUUGUGUUUCUCCACCCUCUGCCCACAUCUUGGAUCCAGAGGAGGGAGAAGUUACUCUGGCAGGGAGUUGGCAGUAAGGGUGACCAGGGACAGCUUCAUGGAAGACUGGGCACUGGAGAUGGGCCCGGAAGGCUUUUGCAGGCAGAGCUGGUGGAGCAGGUGUGUGAAGA